RNAcentral lists this ribosomal RNA (253 nucleotides) under uncultured bacterium. Its description in RNAcentral is "partial 16S ribosomal RNA". It matches the Rfam family "Bacterial small subunit ribosomal RNA", at positions 524 to 776 of the family's 1533-position model. The record is from RNAcentral.
UACGGGGGGGGCAAGCGUUGUUCGGAAUUACUGGGCGUAAAGGGCUCGUAGGUGGCCAACUAAGUCAGACGUGAAAUCCCUCGGCUUAACCGGGGAACUGCGUCUGAUACUGGAUGGCUUGAGUUUGGGAGAGGGACGCGGAAUUCCUGGUGUAGCGGUGAAAUGCGCAGAUAUCAGGAGGAACACCCGUAGCGAAGGCGGCACUCUGGGCCGGAACUGACGCUGAGGAGCGAAAGCGUGGGGAGCGAACAGG